This 523-nucleotide long non-coding RNA is filed under the name Androctonus crassicauda. The record is from RNAcentral. Lineage: Eukaryota; Metazoa; Arthropoda; Arachnida; Scorpiones; Buthidae.
CUUGAUUCCAGCAAUUAACUAUUUGAAAUUUCAAAAAAAUUGGGAUAAAUUAUUAAGAUAUUUGAAUUAGAAUUUACUGCUAUCUUUAAUACUUAUUAAAUAUUCAAAUAUGUAUAGCUUAAUUAUUUGUUUAAGUUGAAUAUGGUAGGAAUAAUUAAGUUUUUAUAUAUUUUAGAAAUACAAUGAGAUCUCUGUAUCUAUGGGGAGAGGUUCCAUGCCCACUGGAUACCUUAAAUACCAGAUAGUAACGAGCACUAUAUAUAUAUGUGUUAUAUACCUAUGAUUAAGUUUAAUUUAUAAAUUAGACACAACAAGAUAUCACCAACAAUAACUAAUAAUAAAAUAGAACAAUUAUAAUAAUAAAAGUUAUGUGAAUGUGGUCUCUGAAAUAUUUAUUGUAUUAAAAUAUACCAUCUAUAUGCACUUUUUUUUUCUUCGUUCUUGUGAUGACGGCAAAAUGACUUCGCGAUGCGAUGAAACGAACUUAAAUUAAGAAUGUUUACGCACUUCUGAAUUUUUUAUU